This 72-nucleotide transfer RNA is filed under the name Dipodomys ordii (Ord's kangaroo rat). It matches the Rfam family "tRNA". From Rfam's summary of the family: Transfer RNA (tRNA) molecules are approximately 80 nucleotides in length. Their secondary structure includes four short double-helical elements and three loops (D, anti-codon, and T loops). Further hydrogen bonds mediate the characteristic L-shaped molecular structure. tRNAs have two regions of fundamental functional importance: the anti-codon, which is responsible for specific mRNA codon recognition, and the 3' end, to which the tRNAs corresponding amino acid is attached (by aminoacyl-tRNA synthetases). tRNAs cope with the degeneracy of the genetic code in two manners: having more than one tRNA (with a specific anti-codon) for a particular amino acid; and 'wobble' base-pairing, i.e. permitting non-standard base-pairing at the 3rd anti-codon position. The record is from Rfam by way of RNAcentral. Lineage: Eukaryota; Metazoa; Chordata; Mammalia; Rodentia; Heteromyidae.
GGGGGCGUGGCUGAGCAGUAGAGCAUCUGCCUACCAAGCACAAGGUUCUGAGUUCAAAUCUCAGUACUGCCA